This is a long non-coding RNA of Teleopsis dalmanni, 931 nucleotides long. RefSeq lists it as uncharacterized. Lineage: Eukaryota; Metazoa; Arthropoda; Insecta; Diptera; Diopsidae. The record is from RefSeq and is a predicted model, not a curated record. The transcript has 3 exons.
AUACACGCAGGAUGAAUGGACUGAUAUUAACAACAUCUGGAUAGAAUGACUGGAUUAUAGCCUAAAUUGUUUGUAAAUGGCUUUUCACCUUUUAUUAGUACAAUGACUAUCGCAUCCGGAAGAACCACGAGCUUUAGCACGACAUUGAUAUUUAGCGAGUUGAAAUCCAUCGGUUUUGCCAGCUUUGUUAUGUCGAGAGAAUGGACGAAGAUGCUCCAGCGAAGAAAGUAUUUGAAGAGGUAGUUAGAAGAAGAAGACGACCAUGUCUUCACUAGAGUGAUUACGUUGAAGAAACACUGACUGCACUUUGAUAUACGACACUGGAGAAAGUGCGCACGUAGCACAUGCGUUUGAAGGGACAUUUUGCGUCAAGCCGAAAGCAGUUAAUGGGUUAUUAUGGCCCAAUAAUUAAGCAAGUACAUCAUAGCAUGAAUAUCCAUACUUAUCCUUACAGUUCACAUUGGUUUCAAAUGAUUUGAUCAGGAAACAAGCAAAGGAGGUGAAUGGUAAAGAUGUGAGAAGUGGUUGCACAACCUACUAAAAGGAACCGAAAGAAAAACAUCCGCAAUAUCAGAAAUCUUCAAUUGAAUUAAGAUGUGAGCACUAUUUAAUGGAAGCUAUAGGCAGAGAGAACAAGAAAAAUAAAGAGUUGAACAGUUUCUUUGCAAAUAUUCAGGCAUGGAAAGUUUUGGACAUUCCAUUGGGGAAAUUUGCAAACUAAUUAGCCUGUGAGCAUCUCAUAUAUCGAUCUUCACAAAAAAUCCCUCUUUUAUUAACUGUGCUGGUAUAUUUCAGAACUAAGACUUCUAUCAAAAUGGCGCCUAGCCGCUACUUGAACAGAAGAGGUAGCUUAAUGUCAUUUUAAUUAAUAAGAGAAUUUAUAUAUUUUGUUACACAUUGAGAUAUGACUUUUACAAAGACUUAUUGAACG